GUGUCUUUUUCUUCUUGGUCUUUUGGAGGUUCUUUUUCUUCUUUUGGAGUCUUCUUUCGAAGUGUCUUCUUCAUGGACGAUGGAGUAGGUAAGCCAUCAUCACCAGGCCAGCCAGUCCACAAUGCAAGGACCCACCUACGCAUUAUGCUACUCGUGUAUAGUGGGGUACGCGGCGCACGUCGCGCCUGAAGGAUACUCCGCCACUGUACAAGGGAUCGUGGCCGGCAUGGACGACGGCGUCGGUAAGUUUUAGGCCUUUUAUCAUCAUCAUCAUCAUCAUCAUCAUCAGGUCAUGUGUCUAGCUGACGCGGGAACUAAUAAGAAGACACUCAGAAGAAGAAGAUACUUACAAUACAAGAAGACACUCAGAAGAAGGCACUCACUAAAGGAGGAAGGAGACACUCAAAAAUAAGAAAAAGAUAAUUAGAAGAAGAAAUCACCCAAAAUAAUAAGAAGAAGACAGAAGAAGAAGACACUCAGAAGACGAAGACACUCAGAAGAAGAAAAAGACAGUCAGAAGGAGAUGCUCGGAAUAAGGCACUCGAAAGAAGACACUCAAAAAAAGACUCAAAGGAAAACAUUCAGAAGAAGACACUCUCGAAGAAGAAAAAGUGUCUAUGUGUCGUCUUCUGAGUGUCUUCUACUUCUCGAGUGUCUUUUCUUCUUCUAAAGUGUCUUUUUCUUCUUCGUCUUUUGGAGGUUAUUUUUCUUCUUUUGGAGUCUUCUUUCGAAGUGUCUUCUUCAUGGACGAUGGAGUAGGUAAGCCAUCAUCACCAGGCCAGCCAGUCCACAAUGCAAGGACCGACCUACGCAUUAUGCUACUCGUGUAUAGUGGGGUACGCGGCGCACGUCGCGCCUGAAGGAUACUCCGCCACUGUACAAGGGAUCGUGGCCGGCAUGGACGACGGCGUCGGUAAGUUAUAGGUCUUUUAUCAUCAUCAUCAUCAGGUCAUGUGUCUAGCUGACGCGGGAACUAAUAAGAAGACACUCAGAAGAAGAAGAUACUUACAAUACAAGAAGACACUCAGAAGAAGGCACUCACUAAAGGAGGAAGGAGACACUCAAAAAUAAGAAAAAGAUAAUUAGAAGAAGAAAUCACCCAAAAUAAUAAGAAGAAGACAGAAGAAGAAGACACUCAGAAGACGAAGACACUCAGAAGAAGAAAAAGACAGUCAGAAGAAGAUGCUCGGAAUAAGGCACUCGAAAGAAGACACUCAAA
Molecule: long non-coding RNA, 1219 nt
Organism: Ostrinia furnacalis (Asian corn borer)
Lineage: Eukaryota; Metazoa; Arthropoda; Insecta; Lepidoptera; Crambidae
Exons: 2
Source: RefSeq, a predicted model, not a curated record